Manis pentadactyla (Chinese pangolin) is the source of this 109-nucleotide small nuclear RNA. The record is from RefSeq and is a predicted model, not a curated record. NCBI's taxonomy places the organism in Eukaryota, Metazoa, Chordata, Mammalia, Pholidota, Manidae.
GUGCUCACUUCAGAAGCACAAAUGCUAAAAUUGGAAUGAGGCAGAGAAAUUUAGCACAUCCCCAUGUGCAAGAAUGACAGGCAAUCUCUCUCACCAACUUUACAUUUCC